This 253-nucleotide ribosomal RNA is filed under the name uncultured bacterium. Its description in RNAcentral is "partial 16S ribosomal RNA". It matches the Rfam family "Bacterial small subunit ribosomal RNA", at positions 524 to 776 of the family's 1533-position model. The record is from RNAcentral.
UACGGAGGGUGCAAGCGUUAUCCGGAUUCACUGGGUUUAAAGGGUGCGUAGGUGGGUUAUUAAGUCAGUGGUGAAAUCCCGAAGCUUAACUUCGGCACUGCCAUUGAUACUAUUAAUCUUGAAUAUUGUGGAGGUAAACGGAAUAUGUCAUGUAGCGGUGAAAUGCUUAGAUAUGACAUAGAACACCAAUUGCGAAGGCAGUUUGCUACACAAAUAUUGACACUGAGGCACGAAAGCGUGGGGAUCAAACAGG